AGUGAACGCUGGCGGUAGGCCUAACACAUGCAAGUCGAACGGCAGCACAGUAAGAGCUUGCUCUUACGGGUGGCGAGUGGCGGACGGGUGAGGAAUACAUCGGAAUCUACUUUUUCGUGGGGGAUAACGUAGGGAAACUUACGCUAAUACCGCAUACGACCUACGGGUGAAAGCAGGGGAUCUUCGGACCUUGCGCGAUUGAAUGAGCCGAUGUCGGAUUAGCUAGUUGGCGGGGUAAAGGCCCACCAAGGCGACGAUCCGUAGCUGGUCUGAGAGGAUGAUCAGCCACACUGGAACUGAGACACGGUCCAGACUCCUACGGGAGGCAGCAGUGGGGAAUAUUGGACAAUGGGCGCAAGCCUGAUCCAGCCAUACCGCGUGGGUGAAGAAGGCCUUCGGGUUGUAAAGCCCUCUUGUUGGGAAAGAAAAGCAGCAGGUUAAUACCCCGCUGUUCUGACGGUACCCAAAGAACAAGCACCGGCUAACUUCGUG
This 492-nucleotide ribosomal RNA is filed under the name uncultured bacterium. RNAcentral describes it as "partial 16S ribosomal RNA". It matches the Rfam family "Bacterial small subunit ribosomal RNA", at positions 29 to 507 of the family's 1533-position model. The record is from RNAcentral.